RNAcentral lists this ribosomal RNA (424 nucleotides) under uncultured bacterium. RNAcentral's name for it is "bacterial SSU rRNA". It matches the Rfam family "Bacterial small subunit ribosomal RNA", at positions 29 to 492 of the family's 1533-position model. The record is from RNAcentral.
AACGAACGCUGGCGGCAGGCCUCAAACAUGCAAGUCUAGGGGGUGUAGCAAUACAUCACCGGCGGACGGGUGCGUAACGCGUGGGAAUAUACCUAUCGAUUCGGAACAACUGAGGGAAACUUCAGCUAAUACCGAAUACGUCCUAACGGAGAAAGAUUUAUCGUCGAUAGAUUAGCCCGCGUUCGAUUAGCUAGUUGGUGGGGUAACGGCCCACCAAGGCGACGAUCGAUAGCUGUUCUGAGAGGAAGAUCAGCCACACUGGGACUGAGACACGGCCCAGACUCCUACGGGAGGCAGCAGUUGGGAAUCUUGGACAAUGGGGGGAAACCCUGAUCCAGCCAUGCCGCGUGAGUGAUGAAGGCCUUCGGUUGGUUAAAACUACUUUCGUCGCACGACGAUAAUGACGGUAGUGCGAGAAGAAGAC